GAGAAAAAUAAAGAAAUAUAUAGAUAUAUAAUUAACAAUGCUUUGUUGGUAUUUUACACUAUGUAUUCAGUUAUGGAAUAUCGACUUUAAAUAAAACUUUGCCUGAUUUGAAUUGUAUUGAAUCUGGGAAUAGUAUAUCUGUCAAUAUAUAUGUUUCUGAUUGAAUUGAUCGACCAACCAUUGACACUGCCUCCAUGAACGCCGAUGUAAAGAUAAAUAGAAAAGACAAACAUGCACGUGCAAUUUUACUGCUAAUGACGA
This 261-nucleotide long non-coding RNA is filed under the name Mytilus galloprovincialis (Mediterranean mussel). Lineage: Eukaryota; Metazoa; Mollusca; Bivalvia; Mytilida; Mytilidae. The record is from RNAcentral.